This 465-nucleotide ribosomal RNA is filed under the name uncultured bacterium. RNAcentral describes it as "partial 16S ribosomal RNA". It matches the Rfam family "Bacterial small subunit ribosomal RNA", at positions 338 to 795 of the family's 1533-position model. The record is from RNAcentral.
CCUACGGGAGGCAGCAGUAGGGAAUUUUCGUCAAUGGGCGCAAGCCUGAACGAGCGAUGCCGCGUGAGUGAAGAAGGCCUUCGGGUCGUAAAGCUCUGUUGCGGGGGAAAAAAAGCAGCAUCAGGAAAUGGGUGCUGACUGAUGGUGCCCCGCCAGAAAGUCACGGCUAACUACGUGCCAGCAGCCGCGGUAAUACGUAGGUGGCGAGCGUUAUCCGGAAUGAUUGGGCGUAAAGGGUGCGCAGGCGGUCCGGCAAGUCUGGAGUGAAACGCAUGGGCUCAACUCAUGAAUGGCUUUGGAAACUGGAGGACUGGAGAGCAGGAGAGGGGGGUGGAACUCCAUGUGUAGCGGUAAAAGGCGUAGAUAUAGGGAAGAACACCAGUGGCGAAGGCGGCCGCCUGGACUGUUGCUGACGCUGAGGCACGAAAGCGUGGGGAGCAAAUAGGAUUAGAUACCCCUGUAGUC